CACAUGACUCUCGGCAACGGAUAUCUCGGCUCUCGCAUCGAUGAAGAACGUAGCAAAAUGCGAUACCUGGUGUGAAUUGCAGAAUCCCGUGAACCAUCAAGUUUUUGAACGCAAGUUGCGCCCGAGGCCUUCUGGUCGAGGGCACGUCUGCCUGGGCGUCACGC
Molecule: ribosomal RNA, 164 nt
Filed under: Triodia stenostachya
Lineage: Eukaryota; Viridiplantae; Streptophyta; Magnoliopsida; Poales; Poaceae
Also listed under: 10 other names
Description: 5.8S ribosomal RNA
Rfam family: 5.8S ribosomal RNA
About the family: 5.8S ribosomal RNA (5.8S rRNA) is a component of the large subunit of the eukaryotic ribosome. It is transcribed by RNA polymerase I as part of the 45S precursor that also contains 18S and 28S rRNA.
Source: RNAcentral